This 109-nucleotide ribosomal RNA is filed under the name Aotus nancymaae (Ma's night monkey). Lineage: Eukaryota; Metazoa; Chordata; Mammalia; Primates; Aotidae. The record is from RNAcentral.
GCCUGUAAUCCGAAUGCUCUGAUCUCAUCUGAUUGUGGAAGCUAAGCAGGGUUGGGCCUGGUUAGUACUUGGAUGGGAGACCGCCUGGGAAUACCAGGUGCUGUAGGCU